GGGGAAUCUUCCGCAAWGGGGGCAACCCUGACGGWGCAAUACCGCGUGAGGGWGGAAGCUUUUUGGAGUGUAAACCUCUCUUCUUAGGGAAGAAGAUGACGGUACCUAGGGAAUCAGCAUCGACUAACUUCGUGCCAGCAGCCGCGGUAAUACGAGGGAUGCAAGCGUUAUCCGGAAUUAUUGGGCGUAAAGCGUUCGUAGGUGGUUGUGUAAGUCAGUUUUCAAAGAGUCCAGCUCAACUGGAUAAAGGGGAUUGAAACUGCGCGAUUAGAGUUAGGUAGGGGUAAGAGGAAUUCCUAGUGUAGCGGUGAAAUGCGUAGAUAUUAGGAAGAACACCAGUGGCGAAAGCGUCUUACUGGGCCAUAACUGACACUGAGGGACGAAAGCUAGGGGAGCGAAAGGGAUCAGAUACCCCUGUAGUCA
This 423-nucleotide ribosomal RNA is filed under the name uncultured cyanobacterium. Its description in RNAcentral is "bacterial SSU rRNA". It matches the Rfam family "Bacterial small subunit ribosomal RNA", at positions 356 to 796 of the family's 1533-position model. Lineage: Bacteria; Bacillati; Cyanobacteriota. The record is from RNAcentral.